UACGUAGGGGGCAAGCGUUGUCCGGAAUCAUUGGGCGUAAAGCGCGUGUAGGCGGUCCGGUAAGUCCGCUGUGAAAGUCGGGGGCUUAACCCUCGGAUGCCGGUGGAUACUGUCGGGCUUGAGUACGGAAGAGGCGAGUGGAAUUCCUGGUGUAGCGGUGGAAUGCGUAGAGAUCCGGAAGAACACCGGUGGCGAAGGCGGUGAGCUGGGCAGUUGCUGACACUGAGGCGCGAAAGCGUGGGGAGCGAACCGG
This 253-nucleotide ribosomal RNA is filed under the name uncultured bacterium. RNAcentral describes it as "partial 16S ribosomal RNA". It matches the Rfam family "Bacterial small subunit ribosomal RNA", at positions 524 to 776 of the family's 1533-position model. The record is from RNAcentral.